Molecule: long non-coding RNA, 465 nt
Filed under: Zonotrichia albicollis (white-throated sparrow)
Lineage: Eukaryota; Metazoa; Chordata; Aves; Passeriformes; Passerellidae
Description: lncRNA (ENSZALG00000009736.1)
Source: RNAcentral
CUCUGAGCUACCCUUUAUUUCUAUAGGAGAUAGAAGAGCCAAAUCUUAAAGACUGUUUUAAGAAAACUCUUUUGAAAUAUCUUUGAAAAAAUUAAGAUGCUGAAAAAAGAACAUACCUCGCUUCCCUCCCAGACCAUGGGUAAAAGUUCAAAUGAGUUCUGAACAGGGAUGACAGCCGCUGUUUUCCUCCUCUUUAUCUCCAAGCAGUCCAGAGUGGAUGAGUAAUGAUUUUGUUCCAAGAAGGUGGGCUUAUUGCCUGUAUUCAUCUCUUCCAUCUGUGAUGUGAUCCAAAGAUUGCAGUGUGUCCUGUGUUGCCUUCUGAUACAAGUCAGGCGGCCUGGUUUCAGGAAACAGCACGGCGACCCUCUUCCCCAGGGUCGCUCGGGCCUAAGAAACACGCGGACACCAAUGUGGUGGAGGAUCAAAGGCCUUUAUUCUCUCUUCUCGUGGGGUUUUGUAGUCUAG